Molecule: long non-coding RNA, 5332 nt
Filed under: Homo sapiens (human)
Lineage: Eukaryota; Metazoa; Chordata; Mammalia; Primates; Hominidae
Description: HSALNT0123126
Source: RNAcentral
UGAGUAGCUGGGAUUACAGGCAACCACCACCACGUCCAGCUAAUUUUUUGUAUUUUUAGUAGAGACGGGGUUUCACCAUGUUGGCCAGGCUGGUGUCAAACUCCUGACCUUGGGCAAUCCACCCACCUCAGCCUCCCAAAGUGCUGGGAUUAAAGGCGUGAGCCACUGCACCUGGCCUAAAAAAUUUUUUAAAUAAGUAAUGGCUGUCUGGACAGGAUUUGUGAGGAUCAUCAUCUUAAAUAACGUUUUAAAAGUGUGUGUGUGUGUGUGUGUGUGUGUGUGUGUGUGUGUGUGUGUGUGUAUGGAGGCUGGGGUGGGGGAUGGGACAGUGGAGGGAACCAGCCAGGCAUUAUUUCCGAUUUCAAGAGAUGCAGAAAGAAGCCUCAGAGCUUCCCUUAUCUGAUUAAAAGCAGCAACUGCUGAGAAAUGAGGCUGCCAUAAAUUCUCUUUUGGCAGGUCUACUCCCAGAAAGAAAAGCAAGAAUACACCUGUUAUAAAUCCCCUCUCUGGUAUAGUUUCAUGGCCAUGAAGAAGAGGGAAAGAACACUGCACUUGCAGAAACAUAUAUCAUUAUGAAAUUUUGUAUCUUCUUUUUGUUCCCCUAAAAAUCCACUUAUUCUUCUUCCCUUAAGAAAUCUAUUUGCGGCCAGGUCUGGUGGCUCACACCUAUAAUCCCAGCAAUUUGGGAGGCCGAGGUGGGCAGGUCAUUUGAGGUCAGGAGUUCAAGGCCAGCCUGGCCAACAUGAUGAAACCCCUUCUCUACUAAAAAAUACAAAAAUUAGCCGGGCGUGGUGGCACGUGCCUGUAAUCCCAGGUACUUUGGAGGCUGAGGCAGGAGAAUCACUUGAACCCAGGAGGUGAAGGUUGCAGUGGGCCGAGAUCACACCACUGCAACUCCAGCCUGGGCGACAAAGCAAGACUCCAUCUCAAAAAAAAAAAGAAAGAAAGAAACCUAUUUGCUCCUGUCUUAGAAUAAAUUUCUUCCCCCUCCCUUUCCUCCACUCGUUAGGUAUGCUGUAUAAGCCUCAAACUUUAUACAAUUAGAGAGCUGAAUUCUUACAUUAACUUGUCUUUUGUCAUUUUAAUCUACAGCCCCCCCCCCACAAUGAACCUAAAAGGAUAGAGAAAAAUAUUUUCUUUCCUGAUAAAUCUGGUGUAAGAAUUGUUGAAUGAAGAAAUACAAAGAUUGAGUGAGGCAUGGGGAGGUUCUGAGAUAAUGAUUUAGUUAAUGAUGCUUCUAAGAUAUGAAUAAUUGAAACAGUGGUGGUAGCUUUGACACUCCAUUGCAAGUCUAGCCAAGCCAAUUAAAAAACAAGAGUCUUAAAUUUUUCUUCCACUAAAUUUAAACAAAUCACAGCUCUACUUAAUGCUUUUAAUGUUAUUUUUUAUUAAGACAACAUAAUUUAUUAAAUACUAGUGGCAAGGGAGGGAAUUUUCAGUAGUAGGUCACAUACUAUAAGAACCCUUUGAAUAUGAUAGAACCAUUCAGCAACUCAGGAAAAUAGAUACUAUUAUGACUUUUUCACACAUUAGUCACUACUAUUCAGAGCAAGAAGUAACCUUCCCAAACCUGUCAACUAGCAGGAAAUGAAGCUCCAAAGCCCAUCCAUCCUUCUCACACAGAUAGAAAAGUUCCCUUGAGAGCAGUAAGCCGGGAAAGCUUUCCACACUCAUGAAGUCCUCUAUAAAUUCACUGUAAUACUGAUGGUUUUUCAAUCAGAAAAAACCAAACAUCUAGAUUUGUUAAUGCUUCACUUUGCUUCAUCAUUUGGGUAGGUUUUACAUCUCUUCCGUUCAACACACUGGAAAGGACAAUCAAAAUCUGCCAUGCCCUUCACCCCGAGAAAGUCUCCACCCAGACCCUGGAGCCUGAAAGUUCUUGGGAUUUUCUUGUCUCAUCAUUCACAUGGCUGUGACAAUAUUCUACACUCCUGUGAUGCCCUGUAGCCCUACCCAGACUCCAGCGUUUUUACUUCCAUUACUCCCACCCCGGAGCCCCCACAGUGAGUGCUCUAAGACCCAUUUAUAAAUGCCUCUUUCUUCCAGGGUCCAUCUGAACCUCAGGGUCCUCUAGGAUACCCAGGACCUCGAGGGUUAAGGUAACCGACCUCCUGGCUGGGGAUAAAGGAAUGUGUUCAGGGGAGCAAGAUGGGGUCUCAAGAGUUUGGUCUUUUUAACCCACCUCUAUCCCCUCACCACUCUACCUCUGUUCACCUCUAAGUCCAGGGUAGAGAUGGAAUUCGGAGUCUGAAGGGCCAUGAGGGUGCAAAGGUGAGCACCGUGCCCCCAGCUUCCCAGCACCUCACUCCUGCCUGCCCCAUGCUACCCUCUAGCUCCUGAGCCCACCCUUCCAGCCAUGUUCUCAGAAUCCUACAUUAGAACCCCCAGCCCUCUCUCAUCUGUGGGGUCCUCUCACCUCCGUCUUUCUCAAGGGAGAACGACUGUCUUGGAUUCAAAGGUGACAUGUGUGAAGGAUAUCAGGUUGAGUGAAGACCUCACGCUGGCCCCUACUCCGUGUCCUAAUGAUGCACUCUGGAGCCCCCAAGCACCAGUUCAUUCCCUGGAGGCCCUGGGCUCCCCAGUGCUGUGCAUCCUUGGGGGCCUGAUCCCUGCAGGACUGUAACCCCAUGGUCUGCAACACGCUGGCCAUGGAUGACGACACUAUUCAUACCCUUCAGCGUUCCCUGUCCCGCAAUAGCUCCUGGGAUCUACCAGCCCCACUCAGCCUCUCUGGUGACUGCUUCUCCUCUGGGCUCAGACCUCAUCCCCAGACCCCAACGCUCACCUCUCCCACCCUCUCCCUCCCUGACUGUGCUUCCUCCACAGGGAACAUCGGGUGGUGAUGGCCUCCAUGAUCCCCCAGAGAAAGGGUGUGACUUGAGUGCCUUCUUCCUCUGUGCUCCCCAGGGAGCAGCAGCAUCAGAGUGCUCCCAGGGUGCCAAAGGGACACACUGGACCAACUGGAGACCCUGGGCCCCCUGGAUUCACAGCUGACAAUGGAUUGAGGUGGGUAUAGAAGAAGUCAAGGAAAAGCCCCUGUCAUGAAGAGUUGGAUGGAGACAGGCACAGAGUGGCCGCAGGUCCAAGCAGAGUGAACAUGCGUCCAAACUGGCAGUGGCAGCCCCUAGAAGGGAGACACCAACAGCACCGAGAUCUGUGGUCUCCAGAGCUGACAUCUCCUGCACUUGCCACGUGCAGGCGCUGUGCGGGACCUCCUCUCCAUCCUGUGAGGUGGGUGUGGACAGUCCUAUUUUGCAGGUGAGGCUUUGCAGAGGCACAAGCAGGCCAAGUCAUCACAGGGUCAUCAAAUGGCAGGGCAGGAACUGAGCCACAGUGGUUGAGCUGCAGAAUCACUGCUCCCAACCCCCUGCUCCACAGCUGCCUGGGCUGGAUGAGCCCUGGAGCAGCAGGAGGCAUACAGGGGAGCUGGGUGCUGCACCGCAUGGGCAAAGGGCCGGAGACGUGUGGGGAAACUAGUCCUGGUGAAGCAAGAGUGGGUGCUGGGGCAGAUGGAGCUGAGGGUGGCAGAUGGGCAGCAACUGGAUCACAGCAACCUUGAAGGACUUGACGGAGCUGCAGGCACAGGGAUGUCAGAUCCCAGCACUAGAGUUGGAGAAAAUUCACUCUUAGGAAGAAGGAGACUGGGUGUGCUGGCUCCUUCCUCACCCCAGGGAGGAAGCUGAGUUCCCCUGCCCAGCACCUGCCCCAUUCUCCUGACUCUGUCUACCUCUGUCUCUAGGGUCUCCCUGAACUCAGGGUCCCAAUGGAUUUCCUGGCCCCAAAGAGCCCCUGGGCACCCUGGGAAUGACAAGCUGCCGGGACACUCAGGCCAGAGAGGAAAGGUGGUGAGGGAGACCCCUGGCCACCAAUUCUCAGGAGGCCCCUCAAAUGCCAAAGCUGUCUGGGAGGCCCACAGAGACAUUUUCUGAGCAGAACAGAGCCUGCCCUAAUGCUGUCCACACCCACGGGCCGAGGCUUGAUGUGACCUUGUUCCUCUUCUGGAGCCCAGGCAUCUACCCUACAGCACCCACUGCACUCCCCCCUUUUCCUCUCAGGGUUUCCAAGGGGAGAGCAGCCCCCGUGGCCCCCCAUAUGUGGUGGGACCUCAGCUAGGUCUGUUCCCAGGAGAGAACGGCUCCCAGACCCUGGAGUUAAGUCUGUCUGGCUCUCUUCUCUCAGUCACACACCCCUGCCUCUGGCUCGCAUGUCUGGAACAGGUAGCUGGGGACUUGAGGGGGCUCAGAAAUCUCUCUUUUUAAUUUGGCAGCACGGAUGGCUGUCGCUCCUCACCUCUCCUUUUCUUUUAGGGUGUCCAUGGGGUUCAAGGGAAGGAUGUUCCUGGUCUGAGGGGCUUCCCAGGAGAGAGAGGCCUCCUAGGCACUGCUGGUUCCCCCCUAGGGAGUGAGGUGCAGCAGGAUCAAGGGACCCAUUGCCCCCCGCCAGGGUGCCCAGGCCCUCAGGAACCCCCUGGAUCAGCAGGAGAGACAGGUGUCCCAGGUGAAAAGGGCCCCAUUUGUCUGCCUGGCUGUGAUAGGGUGCAGAGUCCUGUGUGACUUCCUGGUCCUGCUGGGCCUCCAGGUGUGGCUGGAGAAGAUGGAGACCAAGAGGAGAACCCCAGAGAACCCGACCAAUCUUCUCUCCACAUGAGAGGGCUGAGGGCCCUCCUGGACCCCCUGGACUCACUGGUCCAUGGAACAGCCUGUAGCAGUGGUGAGUGAACCCUCGGCCCCCACGCAAGGCCCUGGCAGCCUCUGCUCUGCCUUCAACUCCCCUUUGCCCCUGAGGCUGGGUUUGGGAGUGGGGUCUCUGGGCCUGGUACCCAGCUAUGUAUGGGGUUCGUGAAUAGAGAAUGCCUGACCCAUGACCCAUGUCUAUGUCCUUGUCCCUGCUUCUCUCCUUCCCCAGGGAGCAGAUUGGGAGCCCAGAGCUCAGGGACCCCAGGGACACUUUGGAGCCAGAGUGUGGGGAGCCAAAGGCAAUAAAGGUAGAACAGGAUUCAUGAAUCUAUAGGUGAGAUGCGGCUGGGGACGGGCUGAGAGGCAGUGUCAGGAUGGGGUGAUGUGUGUCCCAGACCCUGCCAGCAACAUGCUUUAAGGACUGGGUUGGUGGGGGCAGAAGCCUGGGGGCCAUGUGGGGUCUGAGUGGAGGGGCUGUGGGACCCAUCAGUCUAGGGCUGUGCUUUGGGUGGGUGGUCACCUGGGUCCAUGCUUUCUGCACCUGCAUAGCGUGUGCCAGGUCCCUCUGGGGAGAAGGGAGAAACAGGAGAUGUGGGUCCUAUGGUGAAUGUGACCCCUACUGACCCCAGACCCCAAAUGGUCACCCCUGCCUGGCC